UUAAAGAGCAAGAAAUCAAACUUGCAAGAGCAUUAAAGAAAAUGCAAAGGAAAAAAAAUGCAAAUAGAUCAAUGAAUAAUGAAAAUAUAGCAUGACAAAGAAGAGAUAAGAAAACGCAGCAGCAAAACAAGAAUAUGAAAAGGCAAAAACUAAAUGUAAUAUAUAAUAAUAUAUGCAAAAGGAUAAGCACAGAAAGUAAGCACCGAGACCGAAUGCAAUUGGAAGUCAGCAACAGAAAGAAUACAUUCAGAGAAAGAGAGAAGACUAUUCAAUCAUUGUCUACCUCUCUCCUACCCCACCUUCUGCUAUAUAAGUAAUUUCAUUC
RNAcentral lists this small RNA (325 nucleotides) under Vigna angularis var. angularis. Its description in RNAcentral is "Non-protein coding transcript". Lineage: Eukaryota; Viridiplantae; Streptophyta; Magnoliopsida; Fabales; Fabaceae. The record is from RNAcentral.